GAUGAACGCUGGCGGCGUGCCUAAUACAUGCAAGUCGAGCGAACAGACGAGGAGCUUGCUCCUCUGACGUUAGCGGCGGACGGGUGAGUAACACGUGGAUAACCUACCUAUAAGACUGGGAUAACUUCGGGAAACCGGAGCUAAUACCGGAUAAUAUAUUGAACCGCAUGGUUCAAUAGUGAAAGACGGUUUUGCUGUCACUUAUAGAUGGAUCCGCGCCGCAUUAGGUAGUUGGUAAGGUAACGGCUUACCAAGGCAACGAUGCGUAGCCGACCUGAGAGGGUGAUCGGCCACACUGGAACUGAGACACGGUCCAGACUCCUACGGGAGGCAGCAGUAGGGAAUCUUCCGCAAUGGGCGAAAGCUUGACGGAGCAACGCCGCGUGAGUGAUGAAGGUCUUCGGAUCGUAAAACUCUGUUAUUAGGGAAGAACAAAUGUGUAAGUAACUAUGCACGUCUUGACGGUACCUAAUCAGAAAGCCACGGCUAACUACGUG
Molecule: ribosomal RNA, 497 nt
Filed under: uncultured bacterium
Lineage: Bacteria
Description: partial 16S ribosomal RNA
Rfam family: Bacterial small subunit ribosomal RNA
Source: RNAcentral